This 492-nucleotide ribosomal RNA is filed under the name uncultured bacterium. RNAcentral describes it as "partial 16S ribosomal RNA". It matches the Rfam family "Bacterial small subunit ribosomal RNA", at positions 29 to 507 of the family's 1533-position model. The record is from RNAcentral.
AGUGAACGCUGGCGGUAGGCCUAAUACAUGCAAGUCGAACGGCCGCACGGUAAGCUCUUGUCCUUACGGGUGGCGACGGGCGGGCGGGUGAGGCAUACAUCGGCUUCUUAUUUUUCUUGGGGGAUUUCGUGGGGCCACUUCUGCUACUACCUCAUAUGUCCUACGGGUGAAUGCAGGAGUUCUUGGGACUUUUGCCGUUACUUUUAGAUGAUGUCGGAUUAGCUAGUUGGGGUGGUAAAGGCCCACCAAGGCGACGAACCGUAGCUGGUCUGAGAGGAUGAUCAGCCACACUGGAACUGAGACACGGUCCAGACUCCUACGGGAGGCAGCAGUAGGGAAUAUUGGGCAAUGGGCGCAAGCCUGAUGCAGCCAUACCGCGUGAGUGAAGAAGGCCUUCGGAUUGUAAAGCCCUGUUGUUAGGAAAGAAAAGCAGCAGAUGAAUACCCCGCUAUUCUGACGGUACCCAAAGAGUAAGCACCGGCUAACUUCGUG